UACAGAGGGUGCGAGCGUUAAUCGGAAUUACUGGGCGUAAAGCGCACGUAGUCGGCUUUGCAAGUCGGGUGUGAAAUCCCCGGGCUCAACCUGGGAACUGCAUCCGAGACUGCAUUGCUAGAGUAUGGGAGAGGGAAGCGGAAUUUCUGGUGUAGCAGUGAAAUGCGUAGAGAUCGGGAGGAACACCGGUGGCGAAGGCGGGUCUCUGGGCAAUUCCUGACGCUGAGGCGCGAAAGCGUGGGGAGCAAACGGG
RNAcentral lists this ribosomal RNA (253 nucleotides) under uncultured bacterium. Its description in RNAcentral is "partial 16S ribosomal RNA". It matches the Rfam family "Bacterial small subunit ribosomal RNA", at positions 524 to 776 of the family's 1533-position model. The record is from RNAcentral.